Long non-coding RNA from Topomyia yanbarensis, 543 nucleotides. RefSeq lists it as uncharacterized. The transcript has 3 exons. The record is from RefSeq and is a predicted model, not a curated record. Lineage: Eukaryota; Metazoa; Arthropoda; Insecta; Diptera; Culicidae.
AGAUGGAUUGUUCUUAUGUUGCAUAUUUUUUUUUAGUUUCACUUUUUCAAUUCACAUUCGUCGGUCAGCAGGUUUGUUUCUUUCGGUAAAGGCAUCAAAUAUCGGAUCCAGAUGGAUGUAUUGGAGGGGAAAUGAAAGAUGUUUACUUCGCACUUACAAACUAAGGAAUUUUACAUUUAGUAGCUAUAGUAAGGAAUUUCCCAUUGCUGCCAGUUCAAUAUAUUUUGCAGAAGGAAGAAAAUGGCUCACUGUGCUGUGAAAUUCAAGGGCGCGAGAAUACUAGCAAGUAUUUGAAAAUGCCCCGAACAAUUUGUCCAUUCGUGGAUACAGUUUUGAAACUGGCGGUAAAUAGUUCACACGUAUCAAGAUAAAUGCUAUUGACUGGAGCACAUAUAUGUGAUCAUUACUGGUCAAAUCGUUGCGGACAUUUCACGACUUGUGUCAUGCCAUGCCAAAUCAUGUCGGUGUCUAAGCCAGUAUUGAGCAUUGCAUGAAAAUGUAUAACCUCACCUCACUUUUCUGACAGCUCAGAGAGCUUGUUUA